This 253-nucleotide ribosomal RNA is filed under the name uncultured bacterium. RNAcentral's name for it is "partial 16S ribosomal RNA". It matches the Rfam family "Bacterial small subunit ribosomal RNA", at positions 524 to 776 of the family's 1533-position model. The record is from RNAcentral.
UACAGAGGGUGCGAGCGUUAAUCGGAAUUACUGGGCGUAAAGCGUGCGUAGACGGUAGCGUAAGUCAGAUGUGAAAGCCCCGGGCUCAACCUGGGAAUUGCAUUUGAGACUGCUCUGCUCGGGUGCGGAAGAGGGAAGCGGAAUUUCCGGUGUAGCGGUGAAAUGCGUAGAUAUCGGAAGGAACACCAGUGACGAAAGCGGCUUCCUGGUCCGACACCGACGUUCAGGCACGAAAGCGUGGGGAGCAAACAGG